Folsomia candida is the source of this 451-nucleotide long non-coding RNA. RefSeq lists it as uncharacterized. The transcript has 3 exons. The record is from RefSeq and is a predicted model, not a curated record. NCBI's taxonomy places the organism in Eukaryota, Metazoa, Arthropoda, Collembola, Entomobryomorpha, Isotomidae.
CAGAAUUCUACGUGCUACAACCAGAAUAACAGACAUUUGACGAACAUAACGCACCAGUGGAAUCAUGUCAGGCCUGGUCAUUGGAUUUCGCCCCAAGAGGAUUCACUACUCAGUGAAGAUUAUAAUUUUGAUUGCGGAGCUAAAUCAAGACGACAUGGAAUCAUUGGUUUAGUGGCGAAAAAGAAGGUUACUCGACUUGACGAUGAGAUCCCCAAGGCAGACUCCCGUUUAAUUAAGUAAUUGGGCCCCCAAUUGGAGAGGAUUAGUCUGUUUGCAACUGAUGAUGAGCAGUACACAUGGCGAGUUUAGCAAAGCGUAGUGCACGUAUGUAGAGUCCCAAAAUCUUUAAUCGGAAUUAUUAUUAUUGCUCUAAUGACUUGUUCGAGUAUGAUUUCCUGUGCAAACAGGUGCAUGAGUUUUCUUAAUGUAAAUAAUGACUUUGAGUAAGACG